GUUGUAGGGCCGGCAUACGCGAUUCUGGAGUAGGCAGAGGAAGUGAGCUGGAAAGCUCCGCCACAGCGGGUGAUAGCCCCGUACUCGAAACCGAAAAGGACGCAGCCGGUACCUGAGUACUGCGAGGCACGUGGAACCUCGUGGGAAUCUAGGGGGACCAUCCUCUAAGGCUAAGUACUCCUCAGCGACCGAUAGUGAACUAGUACCGUGAGGGAAAGGUGAAAAGAACCCCUGUUAGGGGAGUGAAAUAGAAUCUGAAACCUGUUGCCUACAAGCUGCGAGAGCUACUUCGGUAGUGAUCGCGUGCCUUUUGUAUAAUGAGUCAGCGAGUUACUCUACCGUGCGAGGUUAAGCGAAAGCGUAGCCGUAGUGAAAGCGAGGCUUAAUAGGCCGACUAGUACGUUGGAGUAGACACGAAACCGGGUGAUCUAGCCAUUAGCAGGUUGACGGAAGCCUCAUUCCUUGUGGAGGACCGAACCGUCAACGGCUGAAAACGUUCCGGAUGACUUGUGGAUAGGGGUGAAAGGUCAAUCAAACCCGGUGAUAGCUGGUUCUCCCCGAAAUAUAUUGAGGUAUAGCCUCGGGAAUUGAUUAGCGGAGGUAAAGCACUGACAGAGCUAGGGGUCCUACCAGAUUACCAAACUCUAUCAAACUCAGAAUGCCGCUUAAUUGUAUCCCGGGAGUCAGACGGCGGGUGCGAAGGUUCGUCGUCAAAAGGGAAACAGCCCAGACCAACAGCUAAGGUCUCCAAAUCCAUGCUCAGUGGUGAAGGUAGUGGAACCGUUUAGACAGCCAGGACGUUGGCUUAGAAGCAGCCAUCGUUUAAAGAAAGCGUAAUAGCUCACUGGUCUAAUGGCUCUGCGCCGAAAAUGUAACGGGGCUAAGCAUGGUACCGAAGCUUUGGCAAUCUCCUUUGGAGAUUGGGUAGGGGAGCGUUCGCUGCGGGCUGAAGGUGUAUCGGAAGGUAUGCUGGACUGCAGUGAAGUGAUUAUGCUGACAUGAGUAACGAUAAAAUAUGUGAAAAACAUAUUCGCCGAAAACCCGAGGUUUCCUGGGUAAAGGUAAUCUUCCCAGGGUUAGUCGGAUCCUAAGGUGAGGGUGAAAGCCGUAACCGAUGGAAAACAGGUUAAUAUUCCUGUACUUGUUGUGUAGCGCGAUGGAGGGACGCAGGAAGAUAGGCGGGCCGGGUGUUGGAUAUCCCGGUGCAAGCGUGUAGGAAUAUCCGGUAGGCAAAUCCGCCGGACGAAUCUGAGACGCGAGUCCGUGGGCGCAAGCCCUGAAGCCGUUGAGUCUAUGCUGCCUAGAAAAGCUCCUAAGUUUAUCCACAGCAAUCCGUACCGCAAACCAACUCAGGUGGGUGGGAUGAACAAUCCAAGGCGCUCGAGAGAACUCUGGCCAAGGAACUCGGCAAAAUGACCCCGUAACUUCGGAAGAAGGGGUGCUCUCUAGGGUGACAUGUUUAACAUAUGAAGCCCCGGGGAGCCGCAGUGAAUUGGUGGUGGCGACUGUUUACUAAAAACAUAGGUCUGUGCGAAGUCCUAAAGACGACGUAUACGGACUGACGCCUGCCCGGUGCUGGAAGGUUAAAAGGAGGGGUCAGCGCAAGCAAAGCUCCGAAUUGAAGCCCCAGUAAACGGCGGCCGUAACUAUAACGGUCCUAAGGUAGCGAAAUUCCUUGUCGGGUA
This 1685-nucleotide ribosomal RNA is filed under the name human gut metagenome. RNAcentral's name for it is "bacterial LSU rRNA". It matches the Rfam family "Bacterial large subunit ribosomal RNA", at positions 296 to 1978 of the family's 2925-position model. The record is from RNAcentral.